UAUGAUGCGUUGGGGCAUGUUUCGCGAACGGACAUGUAGACACUCCAGAUCAGAAUAGCUUACCGUACAGUUCGUAAAAAGAGAGUUACGCCAUAUUAGCAUUCAGCAAGGAUAAAAAUUAGCGUGCGUUUUCGUAUAUCGGGACGAUCGUGUGCGAGAAUUCGAAGCGGCAGAAUUGUGCGAGGUGUGUGUAGGCUUGUGCCGCACACUUGGGCAAAAGGGACUGAAUUGUGUAAGGUUUGUCGGUUUGUGCCGCACACUUAGGCACAUCUGCGACCAAGAGAAGGUGCGUUCAAGUUAGAUUACGGAUCGAGCUACACUCCGUGGCUAUCAUAGGUGUACGCUAGUGCGUUCUCAAGGACAGAUAGCAGUGCGAACUAUAUUGCGUUCUAUUAACGGGUUGCAGCGAAACCGGAAGGUUUAGGAGACGGACCCCAUAAUAUAAAUACUCCAACUGCUACCGCUAGACCCAUGCCAGCAAACAUGACUAUUCGUUCUACGUCCAUCAUCUUAAGUUAUGGAAAUAAGUAUUAUAUCAAUUUAAAGACCAAGAUGCAAUGCAGCAAUGAUGGAGAUGAAGCUCAUAUCGUUAGAAGAAAAUUUUAUCAUCCUGUUUCACCGGCAGGAAAAGGUGCUAAAUGGUAAUGGUCUGGCGAUACAGAUGAUUGGCAUACUUAUGAUUACA
Molecule: unclassified non-coding RNA, 685 nt
Filed under: Polistes fuscatus (common paper wasp)
Lineage: Eukaryota; Metazoa; Arthropoda; Insecta; Hymenoptera; Vespidae
Description: uncharacterized LOC122513619, transcript variant X2
Source: RNAcentral